This 2781-nucleotide long non-coding RNA is filed under the name Brassica napus (rape). RNAcentral's name for it is "long non-coding RNA (BNAP_LNC014790)". The record is from RNAcentral. Lineage: Eukaryota; Viridiplantae; Streptophyta; Magnoliopsida; Brassicales; Brassicaceae.
AGGAAAGCAACGACGACGACGAACGAUAACAAACCCAUCAAAGUCCGUUACAUAUCGAAUCCCAUGAGAGUUGAGACUUGCCCUUCUAAGUUCAGAGAGCUUGUUCAAGAACUCACCGGUCAAGACGCCGCCGAGCUACCUCCGGAGCCCACCACUUACGCCGCCGCAGAUCCCCAACAAGAGGAGAUAAAUCCUGAGCCGUUGGAAGAAGGGGUCAGUGAGUAUUAUUCACCGUUGGAUGAAGAAGUUUUUAGUGCUCCUCAAAUGUCGGCAGGUCUGUCUGCGUUUUUCUCGUCUGGGUUUUACAAUGUGAAUGCCUUAGGGAGCAUUGGCUCUCUCUGAAAAUCUUAUAUAUAUAUAUAUAUAUAUUUAAAAGUUGUCACACCGAUCAGAAGAAGAAAUCGUCUUAUAGUUUAGGGUUUCGUCGAUACCUAUAUAUAUGGAUAUAUAACAUAUGGAUUCUGUUUUUCUUCUUUCGUUUGGUUUGUGGUGAAUUAUUUGUGUUUGUGAGUAAAUAAAUCGUGUUCAUUUCAAGGAAGAAAUAUUGUAUUUUUUGUUUUAUAAUCGAAAUUUUGAAGUAACAUGUCAACAUUUUCAUUAUUGAAACAUAUUGAAUUAGUUGGGUGGCAAUAAUUCUGUAAUCAAUUCGAUCUCCGAUGUAGAAAAUGAUCGGGAAUGAAACGGAAAAAGAAACAUCUAAAGCUUUUAUGUUAUUAUGGACUUUAGCAGAACAUUUGGAUAGAUCAUAGGUGUAUGAUGUGUCUCUUUUCUUUUUGGAUUUUUGAAAGAUUUUUAUUUUUGCAUGGCCCCAUCUUUAUGUAAUAGAAGUACAGAACUAUAUAGCAAUAAAUAAUUGUUUUUCAAAUUUCCAUGAAAUCAUAUAUAGUAUAGUCUAAUAUAGAGAACAUUUAGGAUAUAUGCAAGUCUUAUGCAGUUUGUGUAACUAUUUUGCGAUUUAAAAACAUUAAACCCCGAAACUAAAGUAAUAUGUUGCUUGACUCGGUUGUGUUCUUCAGUAAUUUAUAAAGUUUUUAAAGCUUAUAAUUACUUUCCUCACGGUGAAAGGUUAUAUAGUAGUCUAAUAUAGUGAACAUUUAGGAUAUAUGUAAGUCUUACGCAGUUUGUGUAACGAUUUUGCGAUUUAAAAACAUUAAACCCCGAAACAAAAGUAAUAAGUUUCUUAAGUCGGUUGUGUUCUUCUGUAAUUUAUAAAGUUUAUAAAGCUUAUGAUUACUUUCCUCACGAUGAAAGGUUAUACUUCAUAAUACAAAGUACAAACACAAAGAAAUGUAAGUUUUUCUCAGUUGAAAUUCUGGACACUCUAGUUCUUACAAGGUACCCAUGUAAUGUUCUCUAUGUUCAUAUCCUGAAUACAUUAGUCUUUUAACCUCAAGGUGAUUUACUAUAAUUUAUCGAACAUUUCUGGAUGCAAAUUAUAUUUCAGCGAAGACGAUAGAAGAUAUGAAUUAGCUUCUUCAGUAUAAAAAAAUAUGUAGACUGUAGCAUCCAUUCGGAACCUCCGCUUAUAUUUUAGUGUCUUGACGCUUGUUUCGCAGGGCCAAUAAAUCCAACUUGCUUAGUAUUUGUCAACAAGAAUUGACUUGUUAGUACAUAGUUUAUUAUCUAUAUACGUAAUUCUAUGACUAUCUAUGACGUGUCAUCAUCCUUCCAUCAUAUUACUGAUUUAAGAAAUCUAAUAAGUUUGCUCCAAAAGAAAAAAAGAAAUCUAAUAAGUUUGUAUUCAAAUGAAAUGUACCUUACUGUCAAUAAAGGUAUAUGAACACCACCAAUUCCAUAUAGAAGAGCUACCAUUGUAUAUCAGAACAUACAUUAAACCACUGCUUUAUAAUUUCUGGAAGUCAUUGUUACUCGCUCAUGAGAUAUUUCAUGAAAUCGCAGCCCUUUUGUCAAAAAAAAAUUGCAUUCAUUAGAAACGAAAACCAAUAUUCAUAACAAAAGUCAUCUAGCAAAUAAUAAAAAAGUCAACUAACAGUGAAAAUCUUUAUAGUAUGUAUUUAUGAAACACUCUAUUGGUUGAACAAUUAAAACAUUUGGCAGGACCGACAACCUUCAAGUGUCGUUACUUCCAUCCACCAAGUUUUGUCGGCUAUGAUGAGACUUGGGAUAUUUGGGUAAAUGAUUAAAUCAUUAAAUGAAGAAUACUAAUUAUGGUUUCAUACUAAUUUUUUAAAAAUUCUUCGAUUAAUCAUGUGCACAUUUUGAUUAAGUAAAAAGUUUCCAUUAUAUAAUAUUCAAGUUUAUAUUUUUAUUAAUUAUUUAAAGAACAUUUCGAAACAAAAAUUGAAUUUUUGCAGUUCUUAAAUUAUGAUAUUUUCUAAGAUUUAAGCCUUUAGUCCAAAAAAAAAUGUCUAAGAUUUAUUCUCUCUAAAAUAAAACUGGUGUAGAGAGAGAGAAAUCUUAGAAAAUAUCAAAAUUUCGAAACAAGCUAGGCCCAAUAUUCCACUGUCUUCUUUCUUAGGUUUACGUUGCUCACAAGCUUAAACCAGAGACAGCCAUCUUCAUCACCGACGAGAAAACCACCGAAGCAAAAGAGGAAAGCAACGACGACGACGAACGAUAACAAACCCAUCAAAGUCCGUUACAUAUCGAAUCCCAUGAGAGUUGAGACUUGCCCUUCUAAGUUCAGAGAGCUUGUUCAAGAACUCACCGGUCAAGACGCCGCCGAGCUACCUCCGGAGCCCACCACUUACGCCGCCGCAGAUCCCCAACAAGAGGAGAUAAAUCCUGAGCCGUUGGAAGAAGGGGUCAGUGAGUAUUAUU